Long non-coding RNA from Triplophysa rosa, 1459 nucleotides. RefSeq lists it as uncharacterized. The record is from RefSeq and is a predicted model, not a curated record. The transcript is spliced from 3 exons. NCBI's taxonomy places the organism in Eukaryota, Metazoa, Chordata, Actinopteri, Cypriniformes, Nemacheilidae.
UGUUGUGUACUCAAAGAACCUUAAACUGUAUUUUAAGUGCUCCAAAACUCUUUUUCUCAAUAAAAGGGUUAUGGUGGAACCAUCUAUAGUCUUUGUGGUUCUUCCAGGAACCUAGAAGAUUCUUGAAUAACCCCAUAUUCAGUUGUGGAGUUCUGGAGUCACCUUUUCACUACACUGGGACCUCAAAGUGCUUUGCGGGUUAUUGAAGGAACUCAAAUUCUAAAAAAUGGUUCUUGUAAGAUCUGUAAACUUGUAAGUGGUUCCUGGAGAAUCUCUCUUGUACAAGACAGUAUCUAGAGGAACCCCAAAAAAUUCUGCAUGAAAUAGGGAUUUUUAGUGUCUGAUCAUUUUGAUGUUUUAUGAGAAUAAGAAUAGUCCAAAGUUUGGUUUUUGGCCCCUGCUAAGUGAACACACAUUUUAAAAUCAUGCACAUGAUUAGAAAAGGCUAAAUGUUAUUUUGAAAAAUUUCAGCAAGCUUUUUGAUUAUUUUAUAUUUCUUACUAUUUGUAUUAUAUAAUUAAUUAUAUUAAUAUAUUAUAAAUAAACAUUUUUAUUCUAUAAGUAGAUCCUAAGUCACUGAAAUCUUUUGAAAAUGUAAACGUUGUUGUGCUUUCCAUCCAAACAAACUGCAGCUGCUCUGUGUGUUUAUUGUGCAGUCUCGCCCUCCACAGUACUGUGGCGCUGUUGGCCCAAUGUCGCAGCGUCAAGGCAUGUGCCAUGUGGCGCUUUCGUUAGUAUGUGUGUUUAACUUUUUCCAGCUCUGCGCAGACCGAUCACCUUAUGACAAAAAGCAUACGGACUUAGAAUAACAUCUCUAAAGCAUACAGAGCAGUCAGUUCACAAAUAGCUCUCACUGUGCUUUGAUGUCGCCGAUCCGUCUGCGAUCAAACAUCAGUGGCACGAGUGUUCACCGGUGUUGUUCUGCUCGCGCGACAGGCGGGAAUUCAAAAUAACGGAUCGCAACAACCUCUCGACUGUCCCAUUGGAUAAUUUUCAGUAUUUUCCAGUUGAGCAGCAAAAAAAUGGGCAACCAAGGCCAACAGACCCAGCCCACCCUGAUGCUCAUCCUUGCACUGCCUGGGACACCUAAGGCCAACAGGCGCAGCUCCUGUUCUCUUUUUGCCAUAAAUACUUUAGCAAUGUAAAAUUGUGAAAUGUACUAUAGAAAUAAUUUUUACUUUGGCUACAUGGAUCCUCACACCACCUGGUAAUAGCAGGAAACCCAUUAGGAGAGAACAGCAUUGUUUUCUCUAGCUCGCAAGGAUUUGCUUUUUGGCAAAUUACAACUUUACCAUGGGUGUAGGCCUUGCUAUGAGAGACUACUUUUUUGCUGGACUUUUUUACAAUUGUACAUUUGUACAAAGUACCUGAAAUAUUUCUGUAUGUACAGUAUAUUUAAAAGUAAGGCAAAUUAUUUGGUUAGUUUUGUUAAGAUAAAGACUUUUCAUUUAUAACAAUA